GAUGAACGCUGGCGGCGUGCCUAAUACAUGCAAGUCGAGCGAACAGAUGAGGAGCUUGCUCCUCUGACGUUAGCGGCGGACGGGUGAGUAACACGUGGAUAACCUACCUAUAAGACUGGGAUAACUUCGGGAAACCGGAGCUAAUACCGGAUAAUAUAUUGAACCGCAUGGUUCAAUAGUGAAAGACGGUUUUGCUGUCACUUAUAGAUGGAUCCGCGCCGCAUUAGCUAGUUGGUAAGGUAACGGCUUACCAAGGCAACGAUGCGUAGCCGACCUGAGAGGGGGAUCGGCCACACUGGAACUGAGACACGGUCAAGACUCCUCCGGGAGGCAGCAGUAGGGAAUCUUCCGCAAUGGGCGAAAGCCUGCCGGAGCAACGCGGCGUGAGUGAUGAAGGUCUUCGGAUCGUAAAACUCUGUUAUUAGGGAAGAACAAAUGUGUAAGUAACUAUGCACGUCUUGACGGUACCUAAUCAGAAAGCCACGGCUAACUACGUG
RNAcentral lists this ribosomal RNA (497 nucleotides) under uncultured bacterium. Its description in RNAcentral is "partial 16S ribosomal RNA". It matches the Rfam family "Bacterial small subunit ribosomal RNA", at positions 28 to 507 of the family's 1533-position model. The record is from RNAcentral.